GAUGAAGAACGUAGCGAAAUGCGAUACUUGGUGUGAAUUGCAGAAUCCCGUGAACCAUCGAGUCUUUGAACGCAAGUUGCGCCCGAAGCCAUUAGGCCGAGGGCACGCCUGCCUGGGCGUCACACGUCGUUGCCCCCCCCAUCUACUCCUUCGGGAUUGCGGGGGGCGGAUGAUGGCCUCCCGUGCGCCUCGUCGCGCGGUUGGCCUAAAUGCCAAGUCCUCGGCGACGCACGCCACGACAAUCGGUGGUUGCGAAACCUCGGUUGCCUGUCGUGUGCGGUCGUCGCGCAUCGAGGGCUCGAAAAAAUUGCCGGGCUUCGGCUCGACUUUCAACGCGACCCCAGGUCAGGCGGGGUUACCCGCUGAAUUUAAGCAUAUCAAUAAGCGGAGGA
Molecule: unclassified non-coding RNA, 392 nt
Filed under: soil metagenome
Description: partial contains 5.8S ribosomal RNA, internal transcribed spacer 2, and large subunit ribosomal RNA
Rfam family: 5.8S ribosomal RNA (bases 1-122)
Source: RNAcentral